Molecule: long non-coding RNA, 2662 nt
Organism: Dasypus novemcinctus (nine-banded armadillo)
Lineage: Eukaryota; Metazoa; Chordata; Mammalia; Cingulata; Dasypodidae
Source: Ensembl
CCUGGGCACUCACGUCGCUGGGCUGCCGCAGUGACUAGCCACGCGGCUGGACCCCUCUAUCUGGUUCACGCCAGGAAGGACUCCUGGGCGGAAGAGGAGAGGAAGGCAACUCAGCCUGCCCCACUGCGGCUGCUGGAGUGGCAGGCCAAGUGCCCGCCCCAUCUCGUAAUUUUGUUUACAGCAAAGCAGUUAGCCCUGCCCCUCUCCCCGCCUCAGAAAGGCUGCAGGAAGCUCCGGACAAAAGGAGCUCAUGGGAAAUGACAAAGACAGUUUUGGAGCGAUAACGUCAUCCAUCCUGCCCCAGGAAGGCCUGGCCUGGGCUCUAGCCAAGUGGCGGGACCAGGAUGACCAUCCCUUAAACGAUGCUGUGCCUCGGGAGGCUGAGCUGGCUUUCAUGUUCAAAGGAUUCAUUGAAGACUUAGGACGUGGGCCUGCUCCGAUCGGCUCUGUCUUCAGUUCUCACGGCCAAGGCACGGCUGGCUCAAAAAAGGGGAUAGGGCGCGGCCCACGAGGCGGUGCUGAGCAAACGUUCAUCCAUCACUAUGGUCGAUGGUCUGACUGGUCCAUGAUUCCUCCGUUCUCCCGGUGGUUCUCUGGGCAUGCCCGCUCGAUCCUGGGCAUGGCCAUGAGACUUUCCUUGUCCAGGGGAGUGUGAGCAGAGGGGAGAGGGCACCCCUGGAGCCGAGGUCUUAAGAGGCAUCACAUACUGCCACGUCUUCUUGGACUCUCCCCGUCACCAUGAGAAGCGCUUUCUCUGGGCAGGCAUUGUACCUUCAGCUGGGUCCCAAGAUCGCCCAAAGGGCAACUCGAAGCAUGGCGCCUGGAGCUGAGCUCAGUCGAGUUGCAGCUGACCCACAGACUUGUGAGAAACUAUUGCUAAAAGCCACCAAGAUUCUGGGGUUGUUAGUUAUGCAACACUGCAAAAUAACCUCAGUGUCCAGGCUGCUGUAGAACCUCUCCAAGCUUUAGUUACUUUUCUUCUGCAAACUGGAAGCAACAGAACCUCCUUCUUGCAGGUCCUGGCUCCUUGGAACUCCUGUCCAUAGGUUUCGAAGGAAAUAAAAUAUGAAAGACGCUAAGAACAGAGCCUCGCGCAUAGCAAGUACCUUCUAGACGGUUCUGGCAUCAUCGUCAGUAGUGACACUGCUGCAAGACUCGCCGAUUGGCCCUCUGGAGUGACGAUGAAAUACACUCUCUGGACUCAUCUGUGGCCGUGGUUGUGUAAAGCCAGAGCUCCCUCGACAUCUCUGUCAGCUGGGCUCAGGUCGUAAAUGCUGUCCGAGCUGAAAACAUUCUAACUUGCGUUUCCCACAACAUGUCAAAUGGCACUGUGAUUGCAGGUGCCAAAACCCAUCAGCAGUCCCUCUGUGGGCCGGGGGAACCCAACGCCACAAUCCCGCCGCAGCAUUAAAGAGCAGGUUUCCUCAAGAACAUCAGGUGAGAAGGCUAGUUUAAUGCGAGAAAUAAUAGGCUCCCAAAUGAAAAUUCCAGUUCUGAGAAUUAGGUCAUCCUAAAUGGAGCUCAGAGACCUGGGCCUAAAAAUAGACUAAUCCAUGCAGGGCGGGAGAUUGUGAGGCAGAAGGUCAGAACAGAGAGCCUGCCCAGAGCCGCCCCUCAAGGCCCCCCACUCACGGAGCGGGGUCUAGAGAGUCUACCCACCAUCGGAGGAAGAGUGCCUGGGGAGCCUGCCUCCCAGGGUUGUCUCACGUGGGUUUCCACUUCAAAUUUAUCCCAGGAGACCCCAAGCCGAGAAAUUAAUAAGAAGUGGUUUUGAGUAGGUGGUCUCUCCAGGGCCUCUGGAGGGAUGUCCCACACCCGACUCAAGCCCCAGGCAGGACCCAGGACCCAGGGCACAGCCCAUGCAACAGGGGUUCCCAAUUCCAAGUCGUAAAACAGAAUACCAACACAAAACUCCAUGAGCCAGAGCCAGGCAAGUCGACAAACGCAGAACGAGGUUCUUAGAACAGAUCAUAGAAGUAUUAAAUGCAGAAUAUAAAAUCAAUAUGCUUAAAAUAAAGAGGUAGUGUAAUAUAAUAAUAUAGAGGCUAACUCUGCAGGAUUAUUCUGGUCAAGGUACUUAAUCUCUGUGCCUCAGUUUCCUUAUCUGUCAGUGGAUCCCUGAGGUCUGCAUUUUCAAAGUACUGAGGGAUUCUGAGUCUCACUCACUCCUGAGAGCCACUGCCCGGCACCCGGUCAGGAGUGUCCCUGGACAUUGGUGUGCUCCUGCCUGCAGCAGAGUCGUCCUUUCCCUCACCUGUCCCCUCCUCUCACCGUCCAAGGAACACAGGGCAAGGGGCAGGGGUGACCUUGUGUGGGUCACUCCCAGGCUGAGGCCACCAGGAACCUUGUGCUCAGGGCGAGAGGAGGAGGUGAGCUACUGGGUCAGAGGGCACGGGUGGCCGCAGCCGGCACCGCGGCCCGAGAUGACCACGUGCCCACGGUGAGCAUCCAGGAGCUGCACGAAAGGGGCCGGCUGAGGUGCAAGACCGAGGACGGCCUGGUGGGCUUGGCCACUGCUGACAGCCCCCGUCACCAAAGCAAGGGAGGAGGGCAGGAGGGCACACGAGGCGGCUGAGGUUAGCAAGACGCUGGCACCCUCGGGGUGAUGGGAAACUGCCCCGGCACCUGCAGACCUCAGUGCCGCUGGCGCACCCGGCAGGGC